This 253-nucleotide ribosomal RNA is filed under the name uncultured bacterium. RNAcentral describes it as "partial 16S ribosomal RNA". It matches the Rfam family "Bacterial small subunit ribosomal RNA", at positions 524 to 776 of the family's 1533-position model. The record is from RNAcentral.
UACGUAGGGGGCAAGCGUUGUCCGGAAUCAUUGGGCGUAAAGCGCGUGUAGGCGGCUUCGUCAGUCCGUUGUGAAAGUCCAGGGCUCAACCCUGGAAUGCCGAUGGAUACUGCGGAGCUAGAGUCCGGAAGAGGCGAGUGGAAUUCCUGGUGUAGCGGUGAAAUGCGCAGAUAUCAGGAGGAACACCAAUGGCGAAGGCAGCUCGCUGGGACGGUACUGACGCUGAGACGCGAAAGCGUGGGGAGCAAACAGG